Molecule: long non-coding RNA, 283 nt
Organism: Olea europaea var. sylvestris
Lineage: Eukaryota; Viridiplantae; Streptophyta; Magnoliopsida; Lamiales; Oleaceae
Exons: 2
Source: RefSeq, a predicted model, not a curated record
CCUGCGGGUCCUUAUGAAAUGAAAUGUGAGAUCUCCUUCGAGUCAUCUCAAAUAUGUUAGAGUAUUCGAUUGAUCACCGAUUGCUCUUGAUGGAAUGAUGGUCAGAUUGGUCAACGUGGAUGGUGGCUGAGUGGUGCGCAGGUUGCCAAGUAAAAGAAAUUUUUUUAGGAAUCCAUAAUAAAUUUGUUAAGACAUUUUAUGUUUCUCUUUAAUUCCAUUCAUGACACUAUGUUUAUUUGAUUCAGUGUUUGAGUUUCAAUAAAUUAAGGUUUUAAGUUUUAAA